UACGUAGGUGGCGAGCGUUGUCCGGAUUUACUGGGCGUAGAGAGCGCGCAGGCGGUCGUGCAAGUCGCGUGUGAAAGCCCCCGGCUCAACUGGGGAGGGUCACGCGAUACUGAUCGACUCGAAGGCAGGAGAGGGUAGUGGAAUUCCCGGUGUAGUGGUGAAAUGCGUAGAUAUCGGGAGGAACACCAGUGGCGAAGGCGACUACCUGGCCUGUUCUUGACGCUGAGGCGCGAAAGCUAGGGGAGCAAACGGG
This 253-nucleotide ribosomal RNA is filed under the name uncultured bacterium. RNAcentral's name for it is "partial 16S ribosomal RNA". It matches the Rfam family "Bacterial small subunit ribosomal RNA", at positions 524 to 776 of the family's 1533-position model. The record is from RNAcentral.